This 733-nucleotide ribosomal RNA is filed under the name uncultured bacterium. RNAcentral's name for it is "bacterial SSU rRNA". It matches the Rfam family "Bacterial small subunit ribosomal RNA", at positions 28 to 771 of the family's 1533-position model. The record is from RNAcentral.
GACGAACGCUGGCGGCGUGCCUAACACAUGCAAGUCGAGCGGGGACACGGGGCUUCGGCCCUGUGUUCUAGCGGCGGACGGGUGAGUAACGCGUGAGCAAUCUGUCCCAGACAGGGGGAUAACAACUGGAAACAGUUGCUAAUACCGCAUAAGACCACGGCCUCGCAUGGGGCUGGGGUAAAAGUGGAAACACAGUUUGGGGUGAGCUCGCGUCCCAUUAGCUAGUUGGUGAGGUAACGGCCCACCAAGGCGACGAUGGGUAGCCGACCUGAGAGGGUGAUCGGCCACACUGGAACUGAGACACGGUCCAGACUCCUACGGGAGGCAGCAGUGGGGAAUAUUGGGCAAUGGGCGAAAGCCUGACCCAGCAACGCCGCGUGAGGGAUGAAUGUUUUCGGAUUGUAAACCUCUGUCCUCAGGGACGAAGGAAGUGACGGUACCUGAGGAGGAAGCCCCGGCUAACUACGUGCCAGCAGCCGCGGUAAUACGUAGGGGGCGAGCGUUGUCCGGAAUGACUGGGCGUAAAGGGCGCGUAGGCGGCUGUGUAAGUCUGGAGUGAAAGUCCUGCUUUUUAGGUGGGAAUUGCUUUGGAGACUGCAUGGCUUGAGUGCGGAAGAGGCAAGUGGAAUUCCCAGUGUAGCGGUGAAAUGCGUAGAGAUUGGGAAGAACCCCAGUGGCCAAGGCGACUUGCUGGGCCGUAACUGACGCUGAGGCGCGAAAGCGUGGGGAGCGA